This is a long non-coding RNA of Salvia miltiorrhiza (redroot sage), 919 nucleotides long. RefSeq lists it as uncharacterized. The record is from RefSeq and is a predicted model, not a curated record. Lineage: Eukaryota; Viridiplantae; Streptophyta; Magnoliopsida; Lamiales; Lamiaceae. The transcript is spliced from 3 exons.
UUGAGUGAGUGCACUAAUAUUAGUGCUAUAAUUAUUUUAUUUUGGUCACAUGAAUAAUUAUACUAUGGUACUUUAUUAAUGAGUAAUAUUUCCAUAGUUUUUGUGAUUAUUAUUUAAUCACCCUUCUCACAUGAUUUAUUUUUAAUUUCCCAAGUAUGAGACUAAUUACUAAAAUUUACUAAGUGUAGAGAUUGAGAGAGUAGAGAUUUAGAGAGUAGAGAUUAGAGAGAGUGUAGAGAUUAUGAGAGAGAGAGAUCAAGGCAAUUAAUGCCAAUAUUCACUAAGAUUGCCAAAUCUUCUAUAAGAUUAGCAAAAUCCUCUCAAAUCUUUCAAGAUAAUUCUCUCUCUCACUCCACCCCAAAUUUUCGAUCACCACCUUCUCCCUCCCUUCAUCUCUCUACUUUCCACCAUUGACAACCAUUAACAAGACCUUCGGAGCUUCACAAAAUCACACCAAAAACACAAAUCACCCUCUAAAUCUUACACUAAACACUUCCACCUCCUUGAAUCCAAGAAGAUCUUUGGAGUUUGAUCUUCAAAGUUAGAGAGAGAAAGUUUGGUUUUGGGUGUAAGUUUGGACACGAGCAGAGCAAGGAAGUAAGUAACUCCACUUUGACGGGAGUGUUUGAGUAAGGUCUUCAGGCUAAGCGAGGAGCGAGAUUGGUCUGGUGCUGGUGGGGAAUUGUUGAAGGAUGUAUUUACUUUAUCGUAUUUCUAUUUUGACGAUAAAGUCUUGAUGAUUGAUAUACUUUGAUUUUCUUUGAAUUUAAGCAAUGUACUCACGGUUAUAUGUCUUCAUACAUAUAAUCGGUUCACCUUUUGCUGCGAUACUCUGCAUAUUGUGAUUCCUUACGAAAAAUGAGCGAUACCCGUUUUGUUUUUGAUUUUGAAAUUCCUGAUAAUUAAAAAGUUAUAACGA